Molecule: ribosomal RNA, 383 nt
Filed under: uncultured bacterium
Lineage: Bacteria
Description: bacterial SSU rRNA
Rfam family: Bacterial small subunit ribosomal RNA
Source: RNAcentral
UCAGGCCUAACACAUGCAAGUCGAGCGAGGACUUCGGUCCUAGCGGCGGACGGGUGAGUAACGCGUGGGAACGUGCCCUUUGCUUCGGAAUAGCCCUGGGAAACUGGGAGUAAUACCGGAUGAGCCCUACGGGGGAAAGAUUUAUCGGCGAAGGAUCGGCCCGCGUUGGAUUAGGUAGUUGGUGGGGUAAUGGCCUACCAAGCCGACGAUCCAUAGCUGGUUUGAGAGGAUGAUCAGCCACACUGGGACUGAGACACGGCCCAGACUCCUACGGGAGGCAGCAGUGGGGAAUCUUAGACAAGUGGGGGAAACCCUGAUCUAGCCAUGCCGCGUGAGCGAAAGAGGCCUUAGGGUUGUAAAGCUCUUCAGCUGGAAGAUAAUGA